RNAcentral lists this ribosomal RNA (602 nucleotides) under Pestalotiopsis australis. Its description in RNAcentral is "eukaryotic LSU rRNA". The stretch from base 235 to 388 matches the Rfam family "5.8S ribosomal RNA". The record is from RNAcentral. Lineage: Eukaryota; Fungi; Ascomycota; Sordariomycetes; Amphisphaeriales; Sporocadaceae.
UAACAAGGUCUCCGUUGGUGAACCAGCGGAGGGAUCAUUAUAGAGUUUUCUAAACUCCCAACCCAUGUGAACUUACCAUUGUUGCCUCGGCAGAAGCUACCUGGUUACCCUACCUUGGAACGGCCUACCCUGUAGCGCCUUACCCUGGAACGGCCUACCCUGUAACGGCUGCCGGUGGACUACCAAACUCUUGUUAUUUUAUUGUAAUCUGAGCGUCUUAUUUUAAUAAGUCAAAACUUUCAACAACGGAUCUCUUGGUUCUGGCAUCGAUGAAGAACGCAGCGAAAUGCGAUAAGUAAUGUGAAUUGCAGAAUUCAGUGAAUCAUCGAAUCUUUGAACGCACAUUGCGCCCAUUAGUAUUCUAGUGGGCAUGCCUGUUCGAGCGUCAUUUCAACCCUUAAGCCUAGCUUAGUGUUGGGAGCCUACUGCUUUUGCUAGCGGUAGCUCCUGAAAUACAACGGCGGAUCUGCGAUAUCCUCUGAGCGUAGUAAAUUUUAUCUCGCUUUUGACUGGAGUUGCAGCGUCUUUAGCCGCUAAACCCCCCAAUUUUUUAAUGGUUGACCUCGGAUCAGGUAGGAAUACCCGCUGAACUUAAGCAUAUC